Molecule: long non-coding RNA, 1558 nt
Organism: Gasterosteus aculeatus aculeatus (three-spined stickleback)
Lineage: Eukaryota; Metazoa; Chordata; Actinopteri; Perciformes; Gasterosteidae
Source: Ensembl
CGGAGCAGCGGCUCAGACUCGCACAAAAGAGGUGACGCAGUAAUGUAGGAAGGAAAGAACAGACGGAAGAUGUGAGGAGGAAGAACACUGCGAGACGACGAGAAGGGGACGGGAGGAAAGCAUUAUGGCUGGAAAUAGGAAUGGAGACAGAAUGGUGAUGAGAGCUGUGAUUGAUCAGCUUUUCCAGGAGGAAAUGAGAGGGCAUCUCUCAGAGGCCUGUUAAAACAGCCAGUUGUUCCAGGACAGCCUUUCACGUGACGGGCCAACCUACGUUGCAAACCCAAACGACGUAGAGGGCCGUCUCAUGUAACACAGCAGCCUACUCGAGUGAGAGGCUGGCAUCGUGAUUGCCUAGUGUUUUCCUGGCACGCUCGUCUGCGGCAAUCACCCCAUUCACCCUUAAGUCAACUCCCCCGUUGACUCCCAGCGUCGUCCGGUCUGCGUCCAGCACACGGGCCAAGUUCCUGCCGUGGCUCCCCAGAGGCGGUUCACUGAUCCUGGGUACAUGCUGGGCCUACAAGGCCGGCCGGGUCAACAGAGCGGUCUUUUAAUCUGGAUGGAUGUGGUUAGAGUAGGAUGGAGGUUUUCAGUGGAGGGACGCAGCAGAGGCCAGUCAGCCAAAGCAGCGAGAUAUCAUCACCGUUUCAUUGGAUACAGAUCGCUGAGUGCAACGCCCUUCAGUUAUCGCACUGGGAGCGGGUGAUGGAGCUCGCUGCCAAACUCCAGGCCACCUACUCUCUCCACACUGGGCCGCAGCACACCACCUUCCGUGCGCGGGCCGCUGCGACCUCCCGACCCCGCUGGGCCGCAGUGCACCUCCUUCUGCGCUGGGCUGCAGCAACCUCCUGAUCCAGCUCCACGACUCCUGCCCCCGGCGCCACUGUGCCCAGAUUCCCGUGUCCCGCAGCCGGCGCCUCCGGCUUCCCGUGUUCUGCAGCCGGCGCCUCCGGCUUCCCGUGUUCUGCAGCCGGCGCCCUCGGCUUCCCGUGUCCUGCAGCCGGCGACUCCGGCAAACUGACCGACCUCCGGGCCGACCCCCAUAGGCUCCCCGGCCAACUGGCCGUUCGCCGGGCCGCCCGCCGGAGUUCCCUGGAUGGCCCGACCCUCGUCUCCUGGUCCCCUCCCUCCCGCCCCUUGUCUGCUCUCUACUGGUUCCGCCUGCCCUUUAGCACCAUCUGGAAUUUGGCCCAUGAGGGGGGGGGGUUCUGUCACAAUUUGGGUUCAGGCAUUUUUUUUUGUAGUUUCAUGCCUCUGGUGCCCCUGGGUUAACUUCACUUCCUGCCUUGUCCUGUCAUCCCCUGUGAUUGUCUGUCGUGUCAUGAUUGUUUCCACCUGUGUCCAAUCACCUGCACCUUCCCGGUGUAUUUAAGCCAUGUGUGUCUCUUGUCACUUGUCGCGUCAUUGUUGAAUGUUCAAGCCUGAGUGUUCCUAGUUCCCGGCUGUGUUUUUGCCCCCCUUGGAAUAAUGAGUUGGAAUUUUGACUAUUAAAGUCUUUUGUUUGAACUCUGCGUUUGAGUCCUGCCUCUGCCGACACCCGUUCGUGACACAAAAGAAUGAC